Long non-coding RNA from Cyprinus carpio carpio, 781 nucleotides. The record is from Ensembl. NCBI's taxonomy places the organism in Eukaryota, Metazoa, Chordata, Actinopteri, Cypriniformes, Cyprinidae.
UGUUGUGAGCGUGCUUCAGAUCUCCGGAGAUAGCACGGUACGCUGUGUCCAGCCCAGAGGUGAAAGCCAUCCAAAGCAGAGUAACUGUGCUUUGUGUCCAAGUUGAUACCUGUGGAGAGGAAAGGAAAGAGAGAUUGAUACCUGUGGAGAGGAAAGGAAAGAGAGAGUGAGUAACACAAGGAGAACCAGAGGGAACCUGUACUUACAGUACGCUGUGUUCAGCCCAGAGGUGAGAGCCAUUCAAAGCAAACUAACUGUGCUAUUGUGCCUAAGUUGAUACCUGUGGAGAGAAAAGGAGAGAGAGUGGGUAACACGAGGAGAGACCGAGGAAACCUGUACUUACGCCGCUGCCUGUGGAGAAAGAGAAAGCGACCGUUGCCUGUGGAGGAAGAGAAAGAGAGUGAGCACCUCGAGAACGAACUGUGUGAACCAUACUUACUGUGAGCUGCAAUCAGCGAAGAGGAAGAAGGAGGGCGCUACGGAUACCUAAGACUCAGGCCGGGGCCCGAGUCCCACGCCCCGGAUCCCCGUGGCCCCCUUGCUCCCUGACCUCUUCCCGGCCAUAGCCCAUCUGGAGGGCCGAGUCAGAGUUUAGUUUUAAUUGCCCUUUCCCUAUUCCCCAAGCUAUUUUUAAAUAUUUAAAUAAAGAUUGUUUUAUCACUUACUUGUUCUCGUGUUGUUUGGCCAUUGGGUUGGCUUUGGGGACCUCCUCGAGGUGGAAGUUGAGAAGGGGUGUGGCUUAGUCAAAGCAUAGCCAGCCCCUGGGUGUGACACCUACACU